RNAcentral lists this long non-coding RNA (489 nucleotides) under Ananas comosus (pineapple). RNAcentral describes it as "long non-coding RNA (ACOM_LNC011808)". Lineage: Eukaryota; Viridiplantae; Streptophyta; Magnoliopsida; Poales; Bromeliaceae. The record is from RNAcentral.
GCGAGUCCGCGACCCGCGGCCGCCAGUCCGCGACCGCGAGUGCUGUUUUUUUGGGCAAAUCGUUCGCGAACCGCGAAUAAUUCGCGGAUAAUUAUUUUUGACGAAAAAAACGCGAUUUUUUUCGAAUUUUUUGGAAAAAUAUGGAAACGGACGUUUAAUUCGUAUCUUCAAAAAUUCGCGAAUAAUUCGCGAAUUAUUCACGAAUUUACUAACAGAGAUUAUAUAUAUAGAGUUGGACUGGAAUAACAUUAAUAGUAAAAGACUCUUUUUGCUAUCAAGUUUUUUUGGAUAAAAAAUUGUAAAGUUAGGAUGAUAUUAGUCCCUUAGGGUUGAGUGGUCCCCACUGGGUUAUAAUAUUUAAUUCAAUGGUUAAAAAUUAUGAAAGGAAUUGAUCUAAAGGCUAAAAAUUUGAUAGCAAAAAGGAGCUUUUGCUAUUAAUAGUAUUCUAGCCCCUCUCUCUCUCUCUCUCUCUCUCUCUCUCUCUCUCUC